This is a long non-coding RNA of Herpailurus yagouaroundi (jaguarundi), 1274 nucleotides long. RefSeq lists it as uncharacterized. The record is from RefSeq and is a predicted model, not a curated record. The transcript has 4 exons. NCBI's taxonomy places the organism in Eukaryota, Metazoa, Chordata, Mammalia, Carnivora, Felidae.
UUGUAACCAAGGAAAUGUCCUGGUUCUUGGGCUAACAGUUUCUCAACAGAAGAUGAACAUUAAAAAUGUUUUGUUCCUAAAGAUCUUGUGCUCCUUGCCUGCUAUUGACUGAAUAUUUGUGCCCCCUAAAACUAUCUGUUAAAACCUAAUUCCCAAUGUGGUGAUAUUUGGAAGUUGGGCCUUUGGCAGAGCCCUCGUGAACUGGGAAUAGUAUCCUUAAAAGAGAGGUCCCAGAGAGCCCUCUCUUCCCCUCUAGCCAUGUCAGGUUAUAGCAAGAAGACAGCUGUUUGUGAACCAGGAAAUGGGCCCAACAGACACCGAAUCCACCAGAACCUCGAUCUUGGACUUUCCAGUCUCCAGAACUCUGAGAAAUAAGCUUUUGUUGUUAUAAACCAUCCACUAUGCAGUUUUCUGUUACAGCAGCCAGAACGGGUGAAGACAUUGGCUUAUGCUCAUGUUUUGACUCAUUGUCCUCUCGUCGUGCACCCAAAGGUACAGUGACAACAGUCCUUCUGACUUUUCCUGAGGCCACCUGCACCUGCACUCCAGCUGGUUGACUUCACUACCUCCUCCUUAAUUGUUUCUGAUUGGAGAAGCAACUGGAUCACAUACUUGAAGUGACCAGUGAAUAAAGGGUAGUAUGACUCAAGGUGCUCACGCUUGAAGCUGACAAGGAGCAAAGCUGUCUUAUCAUGUUUCUCAUGUAAAUAAGGACGUUGGAUAAAUAUCACUGAACUCUUUUCUAAUACACCACGUGCCGACUUGUGGAGCUUCUGCGGCAAAGCCAGGAAGCCCCGAACGUGCAUCGUUUUGAUACUUGCUGUUUAUUACUAAUAAGCAUUGUCAUUUACUGGACACCGAUGUUAGACGUAAUGACGGAGUGUGUACCCUUCUGCACUCUGCAUGUCCUACACAACAGAUAAUAGCAUCGAUGGAAGCCUUGCUAUGUGCCGAGUACGGCCUGCCGCUGUUCGGUGUCCCUCAGCCCACCUGACAUUCUCACCUGUCAAUCAUCAACCACCACUACAUAAAUGUGUUUAAGUCCCUGAGCAUUUCUUUGACAUCACAUUGUGGGAAAACAGCUGGAUGAAGUUUCACCCAGUUUAAAGGCUAUUUGAGGAUGAUCUUACUUCAGAUGAGCUACAUGACAUGGAAUUUUCACCAUGGGAAGCCUCAGGUGCCCUAUCUUUGUGAGUCAGCCUGAACCAUGGCUUUGUUACAAGGGGAUCUCAGAAGCAGGAAAGCCCAUCCGAGGUCUGAAGUUGAAAGAUCCA